AUUUUAGACAACUUCUUUUAACAAGUUUUGAACAUUGAUAAUAUAUAUAUAUAUAUUUAGACAUUAUCAAAAACCUUUAUUUUAAGUUCAGGUUUUCUUUCUUUUUUAAAAAAUUGAAGUGUAAGUUUUUGCAUAAAAAUUACAGUCAUACCUGAAUUGUGUUACCCAUAAUCUAAUUCAGAAUAAAAAAUAUUUUAUCCGGGCAUGAACCAUCAAGUUAUCUGAUUUUAGCCUUUAGACUCAACUAACUAUAUUCAACAGUUACAUAUUCUGUCUUUGAUCUCACUUUGUCUCUCACUGUCUCACACCCUCUUUGUUGUGGUGUAAUAUUAACAGAUUGUGGACCAAGAAGGGUUCAGGAAGAUGUUCUGAAUGAUGUCUAAUGACUUCAGUCUCAUCUUGGAAAAAGUGGAGCCUCAAAUUUCAAGACAGAACACCAGAUUGAGAACUAGCCAUCACUGCAAAGGAGAGACUCGACAUAACACUGCGCUUCUUGGCAACUGGUGAAACCUUUAAGUCCCUCAGUUUUCAGUUCAGGAUGGGGGCCAGCACUGUUUCCAUGAUUGUUGCAGAGACGUGAAGUCCGUCAUGUUCUUAAAAGGGACUAUCUGAAGGCGUAGUUCACCCAAAAAUGAAAAUUACACCAUGAUUUACUCACUCUCAAGCCAU
Cyprinus carpio carpio is the source of this 669-nucleotide long non-coding RNA. The record is from Ensembl. NCBI's taxonomy places the organism in Eukaryota, Metazoa, Chordata, Actinopteri, Cypriniformes, Cyprinidae.